GGUGAGAAUCCCGUUCGGUUGACCUUAUGAUGCUCUACGAUACGCUUUUAAAGAGUCGAGUUGUUUGGGAUUGCAGCUCAAAAUGGGAGGUAAAUUUCUCCUAAGGCUAAAUAUCGGCGAGAGACCGAUAGCGAACAAGUACCGUGAGGGAAAGAUGAAAAGAACUUUGAAAAGAGAGUUAAAUAGUACGUGAAAUUGUUGAAAGAGAAACGAUUGAAGUCUGUCGUACCGACGAGAAAUCAGCUCCUUAUGCGCUUUCUUGUGGGCGUGCGUGAGUUUUAACGCCUCGCUGUUUGCAAUGUUUGUGUAUUUUUGGGUGUACUUUUUCGUAUGGUAGGCCAAUGUCAGUUUCGAUUAUCAUAAAAUGAUCGGAGGAAUGUAGCUUUGAUCUCGGUUGAAGUGUUAUAGCCUCUGGUAGAUGUGGUGAUCGGGACUGAGGAUUGCAACGAAUACCCUUCGGGCUAUCCGUCUGACCUCUGAAAGUCGCUUAGGUGCCGAAAGCUUGCUUACGGUUAUUUAAGUUGGCGGUCAAAAGGUUAGAACGUGAUUAUAUUCGUUAAGGAUGUUGACGUA
This 573-nucleotide ribosomal RNA is filed under the name uncultured Glomeromycotina. RNAcentral describes it as "eukaryotic LSU rRNA". It matches the Rfam family "Eukaryotic large subunit ribosomal RNA", at positions 211 to 633 of the family's 3401-position model. Lineage: Eukaryota; Fungi; Glomeromycota. The record is from RNAcentral.